CUACGGGGCGCUGCAGUGAGGAAUUUUGCGCAAUGGGGGAAACCCUGACGCAGCAACGCCGCGUGAGUGAUGAAGGCUUUCGAGUCGUAAAGCUCUGUCAAGUGGGAAGAACCUACUAAGUGCCAAUACCACUUAGUACUGACGGUACCACUGAAGGAAGCACCGGCUAACUCCGUGCCAGCAGCCGCGGUAAUACGGGGGGUGCAAGCGUUACUCGGAAUUAUUGGGCGUAAAGGGCGCGCAGGCGGCCAGGUAAGUCAGAUGUGAAAGCCCGGGGCUCAACCCCGGAAGUGCAUUUGAAACUACUUGGCUUGAGUAUGGGAGAGGGAAGUGGAAUUCCUGGUGUAGAGGUGAAAUUCGUAGAUAUCAGGAGGAACACCGGUGGCGAAGGCGACUUCCUGGACCAAUACUGACGCUGAGGCGCGAAGGCGUGGGUAGCAAACAGGAUUAGAUACCCCAGUAGUC
This 465-nucleotide ribosomal RNA is filed under the name uncultured bacterium. Its description in RNAcentral is "partial 16S ribosomal RNA". It matches the Rfam family "Bacterial small subunit ribosomal RNA", at positions 339 to 795 of the family's 1533-position model. The record is from RNAcentral.